Molecule: ribosomal RNA, 476 nt
Filed under: uncultured bacterium
Lineage: Bacteria
Description: bacterial SSU rRNA
Rfam family: Bacterial small subunit ribosomal RNA
Source: RNAcentral
CUACGCACUCCUACGGGAGGCAGCAGUGGGGAAUAUUGCACAAUGGGCGCAAGCCUGAUGCAGCCAUGCCGCGUGUAUGAAGAAGGCCUUCGGGUUGUAAAGUACUUUCAGCAGUGAGGAAGGUGGGUAUGUUAAUAGCAUUACUCAUUUGACGUUAGCUGCUAGAAGAAGCACCGGCUAAACUCCGUGCCAGCAGCCGCGGUAAUACGGAGGGUGCGAGCGUUAAUCGGAAUUACUGGGCGUAAAGCGCAUGCAGGUGGUUUGUUAAGUCAGAUGUGAAAAGCCCGGGGCUCAACCUCCGGAAUUGCAUUUGAAACUGGCAAACUAGAGUACUGUAGAGGGGGUAGAAUUUCAGGUGUAGCGGUGAAAUGCGUAGAGAUCUGAAGGAAUACCGGUGGCGAAGGCGGCCCCCUGGACAGAUACUGACACUCAGAUGCGAAAGCGUGGGGAGCAAACAGGAUUAGAUACCCUGGUAG